Molecule: ribosomal RNA, 432 nt
Filed under: uncultured bacterium
Lineage: Bacteria
Description: partial 16S ribosomal RNA
Rfam family: Bacterial small subunit ribosomal RNA
Source: RNAcentral
AACGAACGCUGGCGGCAUGCCUAACACAUGCAAGUCGAACGAGACCUUCGGGUCUAGUGGCGCACGGGUGCGUAACGCGUGGGAACCUGCCCUUAGGUUCGGAAUAACUCCCCGAAAGGGGUGCUAAUACCGGAUAAUGUCUUCGGACCAAAGAUUUAUCGCCUUUGGAUGGGCCCGCGUUGGAUUAGCUAGUUGGUAGGGUAAAAGCCUACCAAGGCGACGAUCCAUAGCUGGUCUGAGAGGAUGAUCAGCCACACUGGGACUGAGACACGGCCCAGACUCCUACGGGAGGCAGCAGUGGGGAAUAUUGGACAGGGGGCGAAAGCCUGAUCCAGCAAUGCCGCGAGAGUGAUGAAGGCCUUAGGGUUGUAAAGCUCUUUUACCCGGGAUGAUAAUGACAGUACCGGGAGAAUAAGCUCCGGCUAACUCCGU